AUGGUCAUCACGCUAUGGUCAAUAUGGUAUGUUAGGAGAAAGGCUAUUUAUGAAUCCAUAUUUCAGAGCCCCCAUCAUACAACAUCCUUUAUCAAUAAUUACAUUGACGAGUUGGAGCACAAUGUUGCUGAUCGAGUGCAGCAACAUACUGUUGCUGCACCACCACAACUGAACAGGUGGCUUCCUCCACCAAGUGGCAUCGCGAAGAUUAAUGUUGAUGGGGCUGUGGUACGAUCGCGGAGAGGAGGCGCAGUUGCUGCCCUUUGCCGCGACCAUGAGGGGCACUAUUUGGGCUCUUCGGUGAUGGUUUACCAUGGGAUCACGGACCCCCUAACCUUGGAGACGUUUGCAUGCCGUGAGGCUCUUGCUUUGCCGGAUGACCUGGGACAACAGAGAAUUUGCGUGGCAGCGGACUACCAAGAGGCGGUUAAUGAUAUCAAUGGGGGAACAGGAGGCCCCAAUGCUGCGUUGGUACAUGAAAUAAUGAACCAUUGUAAUAGUUUUAUCACUUGCACUUUUAUUUUCGAGCGUAGGAACUUUAAUUUUGAAGCUCACCAUCUCGCCAAGUUUGCUUGUAAUCUACAUAUAGGUAGACAUGUUUGGUUGGGCAUCUCCCAUGACCCCAAUCUUGUACCUAUGACAAUUACUUCUGAAUAA
RNAcentral lists this ribosomal RNA (657 nucleotides) under Triticum aestivum (bread wheat). RNAcentral describes it as "partial small subunit ribosomal RNA". Lineage: Eukaryota; Viridiplantae; Streptophyta; Magnoliopsida; Poales; Poaceae. The record is from RNAcentral.